This 469-nucleotide ribosomal RNA is filed under the name uncultured bacterium. RNAcentral's name for it is "bacterial SSU rRNA". It matches the Rfam family "Bacterial small subunit ribosomal RNA", at positions 28 to 490 of the family's 1533-position model. The record is from RNAcentral.
GAUGAACGCUGGCGGCGUGCCUAACACAUGCAAGUCGAACGAAGCACUGAGAGUUUGAGAUUUCGGUCAAGAACUUUCUUUGACUUAGUGGCGGACGGGUGAGUAAUGCGUGAGCAACCUGCCUUUCAGAGGGGGACAACAGUUGGAAACGACUGCUAAUACCGCAUGAUAUAUUCGGAUCGCAUGGUCUGGAUAUCAAAGAUUUAUCGCUGAAAGAUGGGCUCACGUCUGAUUAGUUAGUUGGUGAGGUAACGGCUCACCAAGACUGCGAUCAGUAGCCGGACUGAGAGGUUGAACGGCCACAUUGGGACUGAGAUACGGCCCAGACUCCUACGGAAGGCAGCAGUGGGGAAUAUUGGGCAAUGGGCGAAAGGCCUGACCCAGCAACGCCGCGUGAAGGAAGAAGGUCUUCGGAUUGUAAACUUCUUUUAUCUAGGGACGAAGGAAGUGACGGUACCUGAUGAAUAAG